Molecule: small RNA, 179 nt
Filed under: uncultured Alloprevotella sp.
Lineage: Bacteria; Pseudomonadati; Bacteroidota; Bacteroidia; Bacteroidales; Prevotellaceae
Description: Bacteroidales-1 6S-Bacteroidales RNA suggested
Rfam family: Bacteroidales-1 6S-Bacteroidales RNA suggested
Source: RNAcentral
GCUGUACCGGUUAGAUUGGGAUACUCAUCAAUAAUUACUUGAAAACCGAGAUCAGUUAGUCUGUUCAAUGGCGUGCCGAUAUGCGUUGCAUCCGUAGCGUAGGGUCGGAUUACAGAGACUCACUAACCCUCAAAUCUUAUUCGCUCGGAGUUUCAUCACAUCACCGGUGCAGCCUUUUU